ACAGCCAUCUUCUGUUAGGUAGGACUGUAUGAAAUAUAACAUUUAGUUAUUUAGCUGGUGCUUGGUAAUGAUGAAACAUAGUUAUCCACACACACUGGCUCAAGGGGCACUGCUUGUCACUGUCGACAUCCUGCCAUCCUGCCAACUAAUACACAUGUGAAAACUAUUAAGGUAGUGUUUGAAGUGCAAUAAUUUUUAUAGCUGGAACAAAAGUACUCCUUGUGUUUCUGAGCUAAUUGUGGAAAAUAUGAACUACUUAUAGAUAUUAUUGACCAUCACUGUUUUGGUAGAGAAGCAAAAGAAGAAUCAAUUGAAGACUCACAUGCUUUUAGUUAUUAACUUUUGUGUGGUAAUGCAAAAAGAAAAAAAGUGUACCAACUGUACUCGGUCUACACUGCAAGUUUUUGCAUGAACAAUUUUUGUGUUGUUCAUCUUCCGUAACUAACAGACAGAUACAGCUACCACAGACCUGAGAGUGUGAAGGAUGUUCACAGUUUAAUAACUGCUGAGAGCAACGCAACACAUUCGUCGCCUCUACCUCUUUGAUGUCAGUUUAGUGCGUCUCAAGCUUAACGUGAGCAACAGCAUCUUCCACUAUCACAGCUCUCGACAGGAAGACGAGAAAGGAACAUGGGGGUGAAAGAUGAUCACUAUUUCCUCCAUCUAUAUACUUCACCCAGCCAGUACACUGACAGGAGUAGGCUUACAGCAUGUGCUCAAAACCCCUCUCUGUUGAGAACUGGAUAUAACCUGCCGAACAAGUCAUGGUUUUUAAAGGCAUGAACGUAUUUUUGGCCCAAUUUCUCCUAACAGCUGUGCAGUGUCAAUGGAGUGUGACGUACUCCUCUAUGAGGGCAUGUGGCCUUAAAGGGGCAUCAGUGGUCCUGCCCUGCACAUAUGACUACCCUUGGGAAAGUGGUGGAGACACAUAUCAGGGAGGAGAGUGGCAUAAAGAGCAGAGUGGGAUAGUCAGAGAACACAGAAACUCUAAUUAUCCUGACUGCAGUCUGAAAAUAGACAAGCUUUCAGAAGAUCACUUUGGUGUUUAUCACUUUCGGUUUUACACAGCUCUUCAUGUGAGUUGGAUAACAAACAAGACUGGACAAGUUGCACUUUCAAUCACA
Molecule: long non-coding RNA, 1124 nt
Organism: Clupea harengus (Atlantic herring)
Lineage: Eukaryota; Metazoa; Chordata; Actinopteri; Clupeiformes; Clupeidae
Exons: 3
Source: RefSeq, a predicted model, not a curated record